GAUGAACGCUGGCGGCGUGCCUAAUACAUGCAAGUCGAGCGAACGGACGAGAAGCUUGCUUCUCUGAUGUUAGCGGCGGACGGGUGAGUAACACGUGGAUAACCUACCUAUAAGACUGGGAUAACUUCGGGAAACCGGAGCUAAUACCGGAUAAUAUUUUGAACCGCAUGGUUCAAAAGUGAAAGACGGUCUUGCUGUCACUUAUAGAUGUAUCCGCGCUGCAUUAGCUAGUUGGUAAGGUAACGGCUUACCAAGGCAACGAUGGAUAGCCGACCUGAGAGGGUGAUCGGCCACACUGGAACUGAGACACGGUCCAGACUCCUACGGGAGGCAGCAGUAGGGAAUCUUCCGCAAUGGGCGAAAGCCUGACGGAGCAACGCCGCGUGAGUGAUGAAGGUCUUCGGAUCGUAAAACGCUGUUAUUAGGGAAGAACAUAUGUGUAAGUAACUGUGCACAUCUUGACGGUACCUAAUCAGAAAGCCACGGCUAACUACGUG
RNAcentral lists this ribosomal RNA (497 nucleotides) under uncultured bacterium. RNAcentral describes it as "partial 16S ribosomal RNA". It matches the Rfam family "Bacterial small subunit ribosomal RNA", at positions 28 to 507 of the family's 1533-position model. The record is from RNAcentral.